RNAcentral lists this small RNA (236 nucleotides) under Virgibacillus pantothenticus. RNAcentral describes it as "BsrG". It matches the Rfam family "BsrG". From Rfam's summary of the family: bsrE, bsrG and bsrH pair through intermolecular interactions with antisense sRNAs. Lineage: Bacteria; Bacillati; Bacillota; Bacilli; Caryophanales; Bacillaceae. The record is from Rfam by way of RNAcentral.
GUGCAUAAGGCUUUUGGGUGGUGGCUCAUCCCUUUCAGAAAGGGGGUGAGGCCUAUAUGACAGUUUUCGAAGGGUUGGUCUUAAUGAUCUCUUUCGGGACGCUCAUUGUAGCUAUUCUGUCAGAAAAAAAGUAACCACCCUAGCCUGACAAGCAUUUAAUGGUUACUUUUCUCAAAAUGUGAGUCGCCCCCUUUAAGGGCUAUGCACGAAACCGUUUGGUGUUCCAGCACCAGGCG